Ficedula albicollis (Collared flycatcher) is the source of this 472-nucleotide long non-coding RNA. RefSeq lists it as uncharacterized. The record is from RefSeq and is a predicted model, not a curated record. Lineage: Eukaryota; Metazoa; Chordata; Aves; Passeriformes; Muscicapidae. The transcript is spliced from 3 exons.
CUGGGGCAAACUGGAGAGGAAAAUGCUGCUGCAUAAUGUCAUCUUCUGAUAUCAAAAUGCUGCUCAGAGAAGUCUUAUCCUGCAGUUGGAAGCUUGGGAACACAGCUGAUCUGUUCUGCAGUGGCUCUGCAUCAAUCAGUGUUGGUGCCAUGCCUUGGAUUCAUUAACCAGCUGGGAUAUCCUGUUGGGAGCCUGGAGCUGUUCAGAAGGACUUUGGCCGUCCCAGAGCCUGCUCUCAGUGAUGCAGCCAAGAGCUGGGCUGCUCCCUGGCCCUGCAGCUGGAGGAGUUAUGGCUGGGUGAGGAGGGAACGUGGAUGUUCUCCUUGCAGCUCCAGCUGAGGAAGAGGAGGUGAAAUGUGAGUGUAUGAAAGGUCACAGCUGGCCAGAGUCCACCUGGGUGAGUCCUGUCUGGCAUUUUGAGUGUGCAUUUCUGUCUGCUCAGCAAAGAGCUGGGUGUGGUUCUUGCCUCUUG